RNAcentral lists this ribosomal RNA (483 nucleotides) under Stygocapitella sp. 169_34. RNAcentral's name for it is "partial large subunit ribosomal RNA". It matches the Rfam family "Bacterial large subunit ribosomal RNA", at positions 1798 to 2628 of the family's 2925-position model. Lineage: Eukaryota; Metazoa; Annelida; Polychaeta; Parergodrilidae. The record is from RNAcentral.
GCCUGUUUUACAAAAACAUAGCCUAUAACUUAACUUUAGGUACAACCCUGCCCUCUGAAAUUUUAACAGCCGCGGUAUCCUAACCGUGCUAAGGUAGCAUAAUCAUUUGCCUAUUAAUUAUAGGCUAGCAUGAACGGGAUCACUCACUUAAAUUUAUUUUCACUACAAUUAAAAUUAAACUUUAAGUUAAAAUACUAAAUUUUUAAGAAAGACAAAAAGACCCUGAAAACUAUUAGAAGAUAAUUAGUUGGGGCAACUAUAGACCAUAAACAGCGUCUAUUAAAAUUCGAAUUUUAAAAUUCAAAGCACACAGUUACUUCAGGGAUAACAGACUAAUUGUAUUAUUUAGACCUAAUAAAUAAUAAAGAUUGGCACCUCGAUGUUGGCUUAUAAUUCCUUCAUAUAGUAACAUAUAUUGAUGGCAGCUUGUUCAUCUGAUAAAUAUUACACUGAACGCGAGAUUCAGAACGGGGGCGUAAGCCA